RNAcentral lists this ribosomal RNA (517 nucleotides) under uncultured bacterium. Its description in RNAcentral is "bacterial SSU rRNA". It matches the Rfam family "Bacterial small subunit ribosomal RNA", at positions 381 to 917 of the family's 1533-position model. The record is from RNAcentral.
CUCUGNUGNGCGACGCCGCGUGAGCGAUGAAGCCCUUCGGGGUGUAAAGCUCUUUCGACGGGAACGAUAAUGACGGUACCCGAAGAAGAAGCUGCGGCUAACUACGUGCCAGCAGCCGCGGUAAUACGUAGGCAGCAAGCGUUGUUCGGAAUUACUGGGCGUAAAGAGUGUGUAGGCGGUGCUCCAAGUCUGGUGUGAAAUCUCCCGGCUCAACUGGGAGGGUGCGCUAGAAACUGGAAUGCUAGAGGAUGGGAGAGGUAAGCGGAAUUCCUGGUGUAGCGGUGAAAUGCGUAGAUAUCAGGAGGAACACCUGUGGUGUAGACAGCUUACUGGACCAUUUCUGACGCUGAGACACGAAAGCGUGGGUAGCAAACAGGAUUAGAUACCCUGGUAGUCCACGCCCUAAACGAUGCAUACUUGGUGUGAGCGAUUCAUUUCGUUCGUGCCGGAGCUAACGCGUUAAGUAUGCCGCCUGGGGAGUACGGUCGCAAGGCUGAAACUCAAAAAAAUUGACGGA